AGCCUAAACUCUAGGUUUUCUGGAGCAUGGCACGAAAUCCGAUCAAGGUAUUGAACCCCUCGUUCAGAAACCUUGAUCGGUCAUACGUCGAAAGGCGUAUGGGUCGAAAGACC
Molecule: small RNA, 113 nt
Filed under: unclassified sequences
Description: LOOT RNA
Rfam family: LOOT RNA
About the family: Latescibacteria, OD1/Parcubacteria, OP11, TM7. Lineage (Microgenomates, aka OP11)
Source: Rfam by way of RNAcentral